AAUGUUGACAUGAGUAGCGACAAACAGGGUGAGAGACCCUGUCGCCGAAAGUCCAAGGGUUCCUGCUUAAAGCUAAUCUGAGCAGGGUAAGCCGGCCCCUAAGGCGAGGCCGAAAGGCGUAGUCGAUGGGAACCAGGUUAAUAUUCCUGGGCCAGGAGAUGGUGACGGAUCACAGAGGUAGUUCUUCCUUACCGGAUUGGAAGGGCUGCUGAGUGGUUCCUGGAAAUAGCCCUCCACAAGACCGUACCCUAAACCGACACAGGUGGACUGGUAGAGAAUACCAAGGCGCUUGAGAGAACCACAUUUAAGGAACUCGGCAAAAUACCUCCGUAAGUUCGCGAGAAGGAGGCCCCGUUUGUACGCAAGUAUGGGCGGGGGGCACAAACCAGGGGGUGGCGACUGUUUACUAAAAACACAGGGCUCUGCGAAGCCGUAAGGCGACGUAUAGGGUCAGACGCCUGCCCGGUGCCGGAAGGUUAAAAGGAGAUGUGCAAGCAUUGAAUUGAAGCCCCGGUAAACAGCGGCCGUAACAAUAACGGUCCUAAGGUAGCGAAAUUCCUUGUCGGGUAAGUUCCGACCGGCACGAAUGGCGUAACGACUUCCCCGCUGUCUCAAAUGUGGACUCAGCGAAAUUGAAUUGUCUGUGAAGAUGCAGACUUCCCGCGGUUAGACGGAAAGACCCCAUGCACCUUUACUAUAGCUUCGUACUGGCAUCAGGAUUGUGAUGUGCAGGAUAGGUGGUAGGCAUUGAAACCGGGACGCCAGUUCCGGUGGAGCCAUCCUUGAGAUACCACCCUUCGCACUCUUGAUGUCUAACCGCGGCCCGUUAUCCGGGUCCGGGACCCUGCGUGGUGGGUAGUUUGACUGGGGCGGUCGCCUCCCAAAAAGUAACGGAGGCGCGCGAAGGUUGGCUCAGAGCGGCCGGAAAUCGCUCGUUGAGUGCAAUGGCAGAAGCCAGCCUGACUGCAAGACUGACAAGUCGAGCAGAGACGAAAGUCGGCCAUAGUGAUCCGGUGGUCCCGAGUGAAAGGGCCAUCGCUCAACGGAUAAAAGGUACGCUGGGGAUAACAGGCUGAUGAUGCCCAAGAGUCCAUAUCGACGGCAUCGUUUGGCACCUCGAUGUCGGCUCAUCUCAUCCUGGGGCUGGAGCAGGUCCCAAGGGUACGGCUGUUCGCCGUUUAAAGAGGUACGUGAGCUGGGUUUAGAACGUCGUGAGACAGUUCGGUCCCUAUCUGCCGUGGGUGUAGGAUACUUGAGAGGAGUUGCCCCUAGUACGAGAGGACCGGGGUGAACGUUCCACUGGUGGACCAGUUGUCGUGCCAACGGCAGUGCUGGGUAGCUAUGAACGGACAGGAUAAACGCUGAAGGCAUCUAAGCGUGAAGCCCCCCUCAAAACAAGGUAUCCCUUGAGAGCCGUGGAAGACCGCCACGUCGAUAGGCCGGAGAUGUAAGUGCAGCAAUGCAUUCAGUUGACCGGUACUAAUGGCUC
Molecule: ribosomal RNA, 1489 nt
Filed under: metagenome
Description: bacterial LSU rRNA
Rfam family: Bacterial large subunit ribosomal RNA
Source: RNAcentral